UACUAAGUCAUGUGCAAUUUUAGUAAGUGU
RNAcentral lists this non-coding RNA (30 nucleotides) under Rattus norvegicus (Norway rat). Lineage: Eukaryota; Metazoa; Chordata; Mammalia; Rodentia; Muridae. The record is from RNAcentral.